UUUUUGCAAACUGCGUUAAGGAUUGGAGCGAUAUCCUUUUUAACUUUUUUGUUAAAAAGAUUUAGCGAAAAGCCUGACCAAGC
RNAcentral lists this small RNA (83 nucleotides) under Polaribacter vadi. RNAcentral's name for it is "Flavo-1 RNA". It matches the Rfam family "Flavo-1 RNA". Lineage: Bacteria; Pseudomonadati; Bacteroidota; Flavobacteriia; Flavobacteriales; Flavobacteriaceae. The record is from Rfam by way of RNAcentral.